This 497-nucleotide ribosomal RNA is filed under the name uncultured bacterium. RNAcentral describes it as "partial 16S ribosomal RNA". It matches the Rfam family "Bacterial small subunit ribosomal RNA", at positions 28 to 507 of the family's 1533-position model. The record is from RNAcentral.
GACGAACGCUGGCGGCGUGCCUAAUACAUGCAAGUUGAGCGAUGAAGAUUGGUGCUUGCACCAAUUUGAAGAGCAGCGAACGGGUGAGUAACGCGUGGGGAAUCUGCCUUUGAGCGGGGGACAACAUUUGGAAACGAAUGCUAAUACCGCAUAACAACUUUAAACAUAAGUUUUAAGUUUGAAAGAUGCAAUUGCAUCACUCAAAGAUGAUCCCGCGUUGUAUUAGCUAGUUGGUGAGGUAAAGGCUCACCAAGGCGAUGAUACAUAGCCGACCUGAGAGGGUGAUCGGCCACAUUGGGACUGAGACACGGCCCAAACUCCUACGGGAGGCAGCAGUAGGGAAUCUUCGGCAAUGGACGAAAGUCUGACCGAGCAACGCCGCGUGAGUGAAGAAGGUUUUCGGAUCGUAAAACUCUGUUGGUAGAGAAGAACGUUGGUGAGAGUGGAAAGCUCAUCAAGUGACGGUAACUACCCAGAAAGGGACGGCUAACUACGAG